GUAUGGUGAUGUCGUACGACCGGGAAAUCAGUGUCGAUGUAGGACAAUUGCUGAAACGCUUGGUCGCCAAAAAUUGAAGAACUCACUUGCUGCUUGUGAGUUGCCUUACAAGGAGAUUUAACAAUUGGGGAAUCUCAAUUGAUGUCCCUUAUAAAGGAAUUAAUUCUGUAAUAAACAGAUUAAAUAAACAAGUUAACUCUGUAAAUCCAGAGUUUAAUUAAAACUAAUCCAAUAUCAAGGAUAUAUGUGUGAUUAUAAAUAACAGAAUGAUGUGCAAGUAAUUAACCCAAAUAAAUAAGAAACUUAAGGAUACAUAUGCAAAAGUUUCAAUAAACAUGUGCGUUGGUAAUUAAAGGAAAGUUCGAGGUUACGAGUGCAAAAGUUUCAAUAAACAUGUGCCGAAGGGAUUAAAGGAAAGCUUGAGGUUACAAACGCAAAAGUUUCAAUAAACAUGAUUUGUGAUUGAAAGAAGCUUGGGGUUAUUAUUGCAAAAGUUUCAAUAAAGAUUGCAACGGAUUAUUUACGCUGAUCAGUUAAUUAGUAGUUAAUGAGUCUGUGUAAAUCUAUAUAAGUAAAUCAUUAUUGUAAACUUUAAUGAAUUCGAUUUAAUACAAAUUACAUCUCAACCAAACCCGGUUCAGAAGACCGGUUUAGUUUGGUUUAAGUCAGUUUCUUCCCAACGGCUACUUGGGGAUUUAACUCCUCUUGCAAUGGCUCUACCGGCGAUCACCGGAGCUCUUGCUGGCUUAACUCCAGCUCCUUCCCCUUCAAGGCCGAGUCGUCGUUCUAACACCUUACAACCAUGAACCAUUCCAGUCUCUGAGAUAUUUGAAUAUUUAAACUUGCUGAUUGUGUCCAACAAUUCCAACAUUGGGAGAGAUUAUUCAACAAGCUCUUCUUCUCUAAUAACCUUCCUUGAUGAUUUAUUAUAUAUUUCUCUCUAUUUAUAUAUAUGUGGUGUGUCUGUAAAGCCAGAUUAUUAUAAAUGGAAAUGUGACCCACAUCUGCCUUUUGCAUAUUUGAUUACAUCAUUUUUAUAGAAAGAGGGAAAUUAUACAGAUACAGUGGAAAUCAUCACUCAUCAUAAUAGUAUAUUGCUGCCAAUGUAGAGCAAAAUUUUGUGACUUGAGAGAGAGACUAGAAAGUUGAGACUAAAACUACACCGGGGUUUGUGUUUUUUGAUCAGAGGUUGUCAAGAAAAAAGCAGAAUCACUGGAGUGGUUAGUUGAUG
This 1231-nucleotide long non-coding RNA is filed under the name Zostera marina. Its description in RNAcentral is "long non-coding RNA (ZMAR_LNC004631)". Lineage: Eukaryota; Viridiplantae; Streptophyta; Magnoliopsida; Alismatales; Zosteraceae. The record is from RNAcentral.